UACGUAGGGUGCAAGCGUUGUCCGGAAUUAUUGGGCGUAAAGAGCUCGUAGGCGGUCUGUCGCGUCGGCUGUGAAAUCCCGAGGCUCAACUCCGGGCCUGCAGUCGAUACGGGCAAACUGGAGUGUUGCAGGGGAGACUGGAAUUCCUGGUGUAGCGGUGAAAUGCGCAGAUAUCAGGAGGAACACCGGUGGCGAAGGCGGGUCUCUGGGCAACGACUGACGCUGAGGAGCGAAAGCGUGGGGAGCGAACAGG
Molecule: ribosomal RNA, 253 nt
Filed under: uncultured bacterium
Lineage: Bacteria
Description: partial 16S ribosomal RNA
Rfam family: Bacterial small subunit ribosomal RNA
Source: RNAcentral